CUUACACAUGCAGUCGAGGGGUACGUGAAGCAAGCUUGCUUGCUUUGACGACGACCGGCGCACGGGUGAGUAACGCGUAUCCAACCUGCCCCUUACUACGGGACAGCCCGGCGAAAGUCGGAUUAAUACCGUAUGUGGUGUGAAGAGGGCAUCUGACUUACACUAAAGAUUCGUCGGUAAGGGAUGGGGAUGCGUCCGAUUAGGUUGUCGGCGGGGUAACGGCCCACCGAGCCUUCGAUCGGUAGGGGUUCUGAGAGGAAGGUCCCCCACACUGGAACUGAGACACGGUCCAGACUCCUACGGGAGGCAGCAGUGAGGAAUAUUGGUCAAUGGGCGAGAGCCUGAACCAGCCAAGUAGCGUGAGGGAAGACUGCCCUAUGGGUUGUAAACCUCUUUAGUCUGGGAAUAAAGUUGGCGACGUGUCGCCUUUUGUAGGUACCAGAAGAAUAAGGACCGGCUAAUUCCGUGCCAGCAGCCGCGGUAAUACGGAACGGUCCGGGCGUUAUCCGGAUUUAUUGGAGUUCUAAAGGGAGCGCAGGCGGCCUGUUAAGCGGGCAGUUAAAGGCGGUGGCUCAACCAUCGUUAGCUGUCCGAACUGAUAGGCUUGAGUACGUGCGAGGUAUGCGGAAUUCGUGGUGUAGCGGUGAAAUGCUUAGAUAUCACGAAGAACCCCGAUUGCGAAGGCAGCAUACCAGUGCGCCACUGACGCUAAAGCUCGAAAGCGCGGGUAUCGAACAGGAUUAGAUACCCUGGUAGUCCGCGCGGUAAACGAUGGAUGCCCGCUGUGCGGCCUUUUAUGGUUGCGCGGCCAAGCGAAAGCGUUAAGCAUCCCACCUGGGGAGUACGCCGGCAACGGUGAAACUCAAAGGAAUUGACGGGGGCCCGCACAAGCGGAGGAACAUGUGGUUUAAUUCGAUGAUACGCGAGGAACCUUACCCGGGCUUGAAUUGCAGCUGCAGGGGGCAGAGAUUCCCUUCCGUCGGGCUGCUGUGAAGGUGCUGCAUGGUUGUCGUCAGCUCGUUGCCGUGAGGUGUCGGCGUGUAAGUGCCAGUGAACGAGCGCAACCCCCCGCGUGCCGCCGGUUGCCAUCGGGUAAUGCCGGGCACUCCGAGGACACUGCCACCGCAAGGCUGUCGAGGAACGCGUGGGGAUGACGUCAAAGUCAGCACCGGCCCUUACGUCCGGGGCUACACACGUGGUUACAAUGGCAGGGCACAGAGAGCUGGCGCGUCGCAAGACGCGUCGAAUCCUUAAAUCCUGCCUCAGUUCGGACUGGGGUCAGCAACCCGACCCCACGAAGCUGGAUUCGCUAGUAAUCGCGCAUCAGCCAUGGCGCGGUGAAUACGUUCCCGGGCCUUGUACACACCGCCCGUCAAGCCAUGAAAGCCGGGGGCGCCUGAAGUCCGUGACC
Molecule: ribosomal RNA, 1411 nt
Filed under: uncultured bacterium
Lineage: Bacteria
Description: 16S ribosomal RNA
Rfam family: Bacterial small subunit ribosomal RNA
Source: RNAcentral